Molecule: ribosomal RNA, 164 nt
Filed under: Nassauvia axillaris
Lineage: Eukaryota; Viridiplantae; Streptophyta; Magnoliopsida; Asterales; Asteraceae
Also listed under: 3 other names
Description: 5.8S ribosomal RNA
Rfam family: 5.8S ribosomal RNA
About the family: 5.8S ribosomal RNA (5.8S rRNA) is a component of the large subunit of the eukaryotic ribosome. It is transcribed by RNA polymerase I as part of the 45S precursor that also contains 18S and 28S rRNA.
Source: RNAcentral
ACAAACGACUCUCGGCAACGGAUAUCUCGGCUCACGCAUCGAUGAAGAACGUAGCAAAAUGCGAUACUUGGUGUGAAUUGCAGAAUCCCGUGAACCAUCGAGUUUUUGAACGCAAGUUGCGCCCGAAGCCAUCCGGCUGAGGGCACGUCUGCCUGGGCGUCACG